This 561-nucleotide ribosomal RNA is filed under the name uncultured bacterium. RNAcentral's name for it is "bacterial SSU rRNA". It matches the Rfam family "Bacterial small subunit ribosomal RNA", at positions 249 to 802 of the family's 1533-position model. The record is from RNAcentral.
UUGGUGGGGUAAAGGCUUACCAAGGCAAUGAUGCGUAGCCGAACUGAGAGGUUGAUCGGCCACAUUGGGACUGAGACACGGCCCAAACUCCUACGGGAGGCAGCAGUAGGGAAUCUUCCACAAUGGGCGAAAGCCUGAUGGAGCAACGCCGCGUGGGUGAAGAAGGUCUUCGGAUCGUAAAACCCUGUUGUUAGAGAAGAAAGUGCGUGAGAGUAACUGUUCACGUUUCGACGGUAUCUAACCAGAAAGCCACGGCUAACUACGUGCCAGCAGCCGCGGUAAUACGUAGGUGGCAAGCGUUAUCCGGAUUUAUUGGGCGUAAAGGGAACGCAGGCGGUCUUUUAAGUCUGAUGUGAAAGCCUUCGGCUUAACCGGAGUAGUGCAUUGGAAACUGGGAGACUUGAGUGCAGAAGAGGAGAGUGGAACUCCAUGUGUAGCGGUGAAAUGCGUAGAUAUAUGGAAGAACACCAGUGGCGAAAGCGGCUCUCUGGUCUGUAACUGACGCUGAGGUUCGAAAGCGUGGGUAGCAAACAGGAUUAGAUACCCUGGUAGUCCACGCCG